UACGUAGGGAGCGAGCGUUGUCCGGAAUUACUGGGUGUAAAGGGAGCGUAGACGGCCAUGCAAGCCUGGAGUGAAAGCCCGGGGCCCAACCCCGGGACUGCUCUGGGAACUGUGCGGCUGGAGUGCGGGAGGGGCAGGCGGAAUUCCUGGUGUAGCGGUGAAAUGCGUAGAUAUCAGGAGGAACACCGGCGGCGAAGGCGGCCUGCUGGACCGCGACUGACGUUGAGGCUCGAAAGCGUGGGGAGCAAACAGG
This 253-nucleotide ribosomal RNA is filed under the name uncultured bacterium. Its description in RNAcentral is "partial 16S ribosomal RNA". It matches the Rfam family "Bacterial small subunit ribosomal RNA", at positions 524 to 776 of the family's 1533-position model. The record is from RNAcentral.